GGACUACUGGGGUAUCUAAUCCCGUUUGCUCCCCUAGCUUUCGCGCCUCAGCGUCAAGAACAGGCCAGGAAGUCGCCUUCGCCACUGGUGUUCCUCCCGAUAUCUACGCAUUUCACCACUACACCGGGAAUUCCACUUCCCUCUCCUGCCUUCGAGUCGAUCAGUAUCGCGUGACCCUCCCCAGUUGAGCCGGGGGCUUUCACACGCGACUUGAACGACCGCCUGCGCGCUCUUUACGCCCAGUAAAUCCGGACAACGCUUGCCACCUACGUAUUACCGCGGCUGCUGGCAC
This 292-nucleotide ribosomal RNA is filed under the name uncultured Acidobacteriota bacterium. RNAcentral's name for it is "uncultured Acidobacteria bacterium partial 16S ribosomal RNA". The record is from RNAcentral. Lineage: Bacteria; Pseudomonadati; Acidobacteriota.